UGUAAGCGUUGAGCGUCCGCUGACAGAGCGCAGAGCGGACGCAAUCGUCUUUAUUGAAACGAACAAUCCCAACCAUAUCAUCUUCUUCGAAACGGGCCAGCGCAUCGCUAAGCCCUGAGCGAACGUGAGCUGGAAGAUCGCACUGGGUCACAUCCCCAUUCACAAUCACCGUCACAUUCUCCCCGAGGCGGGUC
Non-coding RNA from Escherichia coli ISC11, 194 nucleotides. The record is from Rfam. Lineage: Bacteria; Pseudomonadati; Pseudomonadota; Gammaproteobacteria; Enterobacterales; Enterobacteriaceae.